This is a long non-coding RNA of Cornus florida, 2351 nucleotides long. RefSeq lists it as uncharacterized. Lineage: Eukaryota; Viridiplantae; Streptophyta; Magnoliopsida; Cornales; Cornaceae. The transcript is spliced from 3 exons. The record is from RefSeq and is a predicted model, not a curated record.
AAUGAAUUCUGAAAUCCACCAAAAAAAAAAAUCCAAAACUACCAAAAGCAACUGUGAGAACCGUGGGAGAGGAAUCGACUAAUAGAGAAAUAGAUGCUUCUGCUCUGCCAGAUCGUUAUCGACACAGGGGACAACUCCAAUGACCUGCAAGAGAUCCGAUUCCGGCCAAAUAAAGAACCAACAGCGUGCUUCAGUCCGGCGAAGCUACAAGCGUCGUCGACGAAACCCAGUUCAAAAUGGUCGUGGACUCACCGGAGCUCUGUACAAGAAUCAGGCGGGCCAGCCCUGACCCAAGGCGACCAAGGCGGUCGACUAGGGCCUCAGAAUUGAUGAAUUUAUUGGCCCAUCGAUGAUGGGCCAACAGAAAGAAGAAAAAAAAAAAAUUUAGGGCAAAUCAUUUCAGCCUCCCCAAUCGCCUCCAUCUCUAUUCUCGCUCUGAACUUGCCUUCUCUGUGUCUCUCCAACUGUAAACUACAAAAUCUACAAGAAUCAGAAGUUCAAAACGCAUAUACUUCAGUUUAUCUGUCUGCAGUUCAAAACCUAUUACCUAUAUCAAAACCCAUAUCGACAUAUUAUUUCAGAUUGUUCAAAAAAUCAAAACCCAUAUCUUUCUGUUUCCGUCGACCGCUGUUCCAGUUCGGGUUCGCCGUUCGCAAGCUUCAGCCGCUGGCCCGCUGUCUCUCAACUCUCAAGCGUGUCUCUCAACUCUCAAAAUUGUUUUGAAAGACUAAUUGGUAAAUUUGGGUUGAACUUGAUUCUUGAACAAGCUGAAGGCCUACUGUCCUAUCAUCUUUUAGAGUGCUUUUAUCAGUGACAGAGAAACUUAUCUACAGCAACCCUUCUUCCCAAACGAACGACCCAUUAACAAAUUAUAGAUUGGAUGGAUAUCCGCAAUCACAAAGUUCUCUUUCAAAGAUUGGAUGCCAGGAGUGGCGUCCGGAUGCGGGAGCUCCAGGAGUUUGCGUCCGGACAUAUUUUUUGCUUUUUGUGGAAGCUGUGGCUCUUUUUUUUUUUUGAUAGAUAAUGGAAGCUAUGGCUUUUAUUUUUACUUUUUGGACACUGUUCACUUUUUGUCCUUUUCCCUAUUUUGUCUUUCCCCCGUUUGUCACUUUGUUGACAUAACCUUACAGAGUUGCAUCUUAGCACUGUUUAUCAUACUCACACUGAUGGACAGACCGAGAGGGUUAAUCAGAUCAUGGAGGAUAUGCUUCAUUCUUGAUGACACAUGAUUCUAAUCAUUAUGUGAGUGUAAAGGAACAAGGAUAAAAAUAUAACAAUUUUAAGAAAGAAUUAGUUCCUUUAUCUUAAACAUAUAAAAUGUGGCUGAGUAUGUUGAACGGGUUCUGAAAAGGUUCAAUAUGAAUAAUGCUAAGGCGGUCAGUACUUGCAAACUUGGUAAACAUCGUCAGGCUAUUUUUAAGUCUUAUUUUGAUAAAAGUUUACAUUAAAACACCUUUUGGGACGUCAAAGGGAACUCGAAUAAGUUUAACUCAAAACUCUCAUUUUCUUUCACAGAUUCAUUCUUUAUAUAAUAAAAAGGUCUAGCCCAUGGGUAACCUUCCUAUAUGCGCACUAGACUUGUAAAGUGACAAUCUCCGUACUAGAACCAUGUCCUAGCAUUGCUAAGGAUUAACAAUAUUUAAGUUUGGGGUGUGAUAAGUGUUGAAAAGUGCGCAUUUAAACCCUUAAUUUUGAGUAUACUAGGACCUACAAUCCCAUCUGACAUCUCUCUUUCACCCACCUAACCAGCAAACCAAUUUAAAAAAAAAAUAGCAAACCUUUGUUCUCUCCCUCUCACGUUCCCUCCAAAACAUCUUUUCCUCCAAACCAAACUUAGGGUUUGGUUGGACUUGGCGACGUCGACGAGGGCUUGGGCACUCUAGACUUUAUCAGGAAAAUGGCAAAAAAAGGACGAAAAAGAUAAAGAAGAAAGAGCCAUUAUCCAUCACAAACUGAGUCCUACCCAUCGGCCACGGCAGUGAGUGCAGAAGUUGUGAAAGUUGGUUUAGGAAAUUAACAGAUAAAUCAAAUUUAUCUACGUGAAACCACGUUUUAGAAUGAAACUGUUCGACUAAUUUCGAAGAAAUUAAAUCUUAAAAAUAUGAAAAAUAUAGUUAUUCUAUAUAUAUUGGAAUUGUAGUACUAAAAAAAAGAUUUGGGAAUCAGGAUUCCGGCUCAAUUUGUUUCGACGGAUAAUAUUUUUUCCUGAAAGAAUUUAUUUAUUUUUAAAGUAAAAUAUUUUAGUACUACAAUUAUUUAGGAUUUCAGUUUGGCCCUAACUACAGUCAUCUUGAACCCCACCCAGUUCAGGCAAUCCCAAAUGUCCGAUUGCUAACUGUAAAGUGGUACAU